UCAAUAAAUUGUUUCGCAGGUUCCAGCAGCUAGAGGUGUUCUGGGCCACUCACACUAGGAGCCCGAGGGUGCGGUGCCCCAUCUGCUCUUACCUUGUACUCUCUCCUCCGGAACAGCCACAGGACCUUGGAAGACUACAGCAAGACCUCGUUGUCACCUGGCUCCUCUCCCAUUUAGCAUGACCCAAUCUGCUUACCCUGAAUUACGGCCCCACAUCUCCCAAUCUCACCCACAGCCACACUUAUCUUCUUGAAAAUUAUUUAUUUAGCAGAAAUAUGUAGAGAGCCUGCUGGGUACUGGAGCCCAGGCGGGUCCCCUGAACGUGCAGAGCACAGUCUGUUUCACGGUCUCUGCUCCACAUUUAUGGUCUCUGGAUUCUUACCUAUCCCCUGACUUCCACGCAGCUGGGUCUUCCUCCCGGCUGACCUUGGACUAAAUGCCUCUUCCUCGGAGAGAGCUUUCUUGACCAGUGACUUAACAUGAACACCAAGGUGUAUGUGGUGCCGGUCACUGCCCAUCCCAUGCUCCUGCCUCAGUCUGGAUCAUGUUCUAGAGUGUCCUGCUCCACAUACACUGCUUGAGGCCACGGUGGACAUCAGAUUACACAGUGUCCACAGUGGACACCAGAGCAGCCAGUACUUAUUCCUCUGGAGAAAGAUUUCUACUCAGCAGCUGUGUGGAGAGGGGGCAGGCCUUGGGCAGGGGUGAGCAAACAGCCUGUGGACACAGGGGAGUGGCCCUGCCUAGCCGCCUCCUUACACACUCACCAUCCCGGCUCACCGUUCACUAUAUCCUGAGAAUGAGAACUGGCUCAGGUGUGCCUCGAAGAUAUCCAAGAGUCAUUGUCACCAUUUGAUUAUGGACUGUCACAGUAGGACAGGAUCAAAGAGCAUAUUAGAAGAGGGAGCUUUCAAAUCACUUCCAGAUAAUCUAUUUUGGAAAUCGGACACGGACCUAUGCACCAUCCUGGUUCUCCACCAAGGCAGUGGGCUGGUGGCUGGAGUACUGCCCCGAGCUCCCUCUGCUACCCUGAAGAGUCUGGAGUUGAGGGUACCCCCAGGACACAUGGGGGAGGACUCUCCCCCACUUCUCUGCUCCCCAGUGCGGCUGCUCCUCCGCUCUGUUAGAGGAAGUCAGAGCCUCCUUCUCCAUGUUCUUUCCAACUGGGCCACAGCUGCUCACAGGGGGGAGGCUGCAGGGUCUGGAUGUCUGCUUCCCAAGGUCACGGGAUGAUGGCAGCAGGAAGCUGAGGUCAGCCAAGGGGGGGUAAGCGUCUCUGCUGCUGACCUGUCCAGAGCACCAUUCCUGUUUGCCGCCUGACCUGGGGCUGUACUAGAAACCUGUGUAAGUGGAACUUCACUGAGAGCUACGGAAGAGAGGGAAGAGCCACUUCCCACACCACGGCGAAUCCCACAGGGUGAGUGAUCUCUCUCCCACAUUGUGGGAAAGGCAGUAGCCCCCU
RNAcentral lists this long non-coding RNA (1462 nucleotides) under Marmota monax (woodchuck). Lineage: Eukaryota; Metazoa; Chordata; Mammalia; Rodentia; Sciuridae. The record is from RNAcentral.